Molecule: ribosomal RNA, 507 nt
Filed under: uncultured bacterium
Lineage: Bacteria
Description: partial 16S ribosomal RNA
Rfam family: Bacterial small subunit ribosomal RNA
Source: RNAcentral
AGUGAACGCUGGCGGUAGGCCUAACACAUGCAAGUCGAACGGCAGCACAGGAGAGCUUGCUCUCCGGGUGGCGAGUGGCGGACGGGUGAGGAAUACAGCGGAAUCUACUCUGUCGUGGGGGAUAACGUAGGGAAACUUACGCUAAUACCGCAUACGACCUACGGGUGAAAGCAGGGGACAUCCGGUCUUUUCGCGAUUGAAUGAGCCGCUGUCGGAUUAGCUAGCUGGCGGGGUAAAGGCCCACCAAGGCAGCGAUCCGUAGCUUGGUCUGAGAGGAUGAUCAGCCACACUGGAACUGAGACACGGUCCAGACUCCUACGGGAGGCAGCAGUGGGGAAUAUUGGACAAUGGGCGCAAGCCUGAUCCAGCCAUACCGCGUGGGUGAAGAAGGCCUUCGGGUUGUAAAGCCCUUUUGUUGGGAAAGAAAUCCAGCUGGCUAAUACCCGGUUGGGAUGACGGUACCCAAAGAAUAAGCACCGGCUAACUUCGUGCCAGCAGCCGCCGUAA